Long non-coding RNA from Amblyraja radiata (thorny skate), 124 nucleotides. RefSeq lists it as uncharacterized. Lineage: Eukaryota; Metazoa; Chordata; Chondrichthyes; Rajiformes; Rajidae. The record is from RefSeq and is a predicted model, not a curated record. The transcript has 3 exons.
AUCUAUCUUCACUAAGGAAGACACAAACAAUCUCCCAGAUGUAUUCGAGGACAGAGGACCGAGGGUGACGGCGGACCUGAAGGAAAUUCAAAUUAGGCAGGAAAUAGAGUUAGGUAGAUAGGUG